CGAACGGGUGAGUAACGCGUGAGGAACCUGCCUCAAAGAGGGGGACAACAGUUGGAAACGACUGCUAAUACCGCAUAAGCCCACGGGUCGGCAUCGACCUGAGGGAAAAGGAGCAAUCCGCUUUGAGAUGGCCUCGCGUCCGAUUAGCUAGUUGGUGAGGUAAUGGCCCACCAAGGCGACGAUCGGUAGCCGGACUGAGAGGUUGAACGGCCACAUUGGGACUGAGACACGGCCUAG
Molecule: ribosomal RNA, 237 nt
Filed under: uncultured bacterium
Lineage: Bacteria
Description: partial 16S ribosomal RNA
Rfam family: Bacterial small subunit ribosomal RNA
Source: RNAcentral